This 253-nucleotide ribosomal RNA is filed under the name uncultured bacterium. RNAcentral's name for it is "partial 16S ribosomal RNA". It matches the Rfam family "Bacterial small subunit ribosomal RNA", at positions 524 to 776 of the family's 1533-position model. The record is from RNAcentral.
UACAGAGGGUGCUAGCGUUGUUCGGAAUCAUUGGGCGUAAAGGGCGCGUAGGCGGGCUGUCAAGUCUGGGGUGAAAUGCCACGGCUCAACCGUGGAACUGCCUCAGAUACUGACGGCCUCGAGGAAGGUAGGGGCAUGCGGAACUGUAGGUGGAGCGGUGAAAUGCGUUGAUAUCUACAGGAACUCCGGUGGCGAAAGCGGCGUGCUGGACCUUUUCUGACGCUGAGGCGCGAAAGCUAGGGGAGCAAACGGG